This is a long non-coding RNA of Glycine soja, 474 nucleotides long. RefSeq lists it as uncharacterized. NCBI's taxonomy places the organism in Eukaryota, Viridiplantae, Streptophyta, Magnoliopsida, Fabales, Fabaceae. The transcript has 3 exons. The record is from RefSeq and is a predicted model, not a curated record.
CUUUGCGUUUUUUCUAAAAUAAAGUUCAAAGGUUCGGUUUUGAAGGAAAAGAGAAGAAGGAAAUAGCAUGAUAUAGAACUGGCGUGAAUUUUCCGGAGUCUGGUGCAUUAAUUCUAUGGAGCAAGUUUAGUAUUGCAACCAUGUGAAUGAUGUGAUUAGGCAUGGGAAGAAGAGGAGGGUGAUACUGUACGGAGAGAAUCUAGGGUAUAGAAGAACCUCGUGCUUGGAGCCACUGGAUUAGUGGAUGUGGUCUUUAACAUUAGAUUCCAAGUUAGGGGAAGUGAAAAGUAGGAUUCGACUCAUCAAAUGAAACUAAAAAUGGGCAAGAGCAUAUGCCAUGAUCGAUUCUAGAAGCUCCGGGACCAGAUACGUUCUUCAACUUUGAAUACAACCUUUGGCCGUUGCAUCUUAUUUUCUUCCUUUUGACAUUUCACAUCCAAUUUGGCCCCACGCUCAUCUAAAGACUAGACUAUG